CCGACAUCACAAAUUUCUCUGUUCUCUCUCUUUUACAAUUCUUCAUCACCUUCCUGGUUUUAUCAAGAUUUGAUCAAAUUCAAAGAUCCGUAAACAUAAGUUGCAGGUAUGUUAAUCCGAUUCGAUGCUCUCUUUGUUUCCACCGUUUUCCAGAAGCAUCAUCAUGUUGGUCUAUCAAGAUUUGAUUACUGGUGAUGAGCUUCUUUCAGACUCCUUCCCCUACAAGAACUCUUGAAUGGGAUCCUAUGUGAAGUUGAAGGAAAGAUCUGAUUCCAGUGAUUAAUAUCCGCUUGAGUAACCCAAUCUGAGUCUGAUUUUUUUCGUUAACGAUUCAGGUUUUUAUUUUGGAUGCCCCGGAGUUUUGGUUGCAACUAUGUUGGACAGAGGUAUGGUUGUUGUGGUUGGAAAUUGGUACCAUGUCCGUUGGUUUUGCUUGGCAAGAAUGGAUGGAAUGCUCUAAGAAGGUUUCUUUGUUAAUUAAUUCUUCUCUUCGGCUUAUAAGGGAUGACGCUAAG
Molecule: long non-coding RNA, 515 nt
Organism: Helianthus annuus (common sunflower)
Lineage: Eukaryota; Viridiplantae; Streptophyta; Magnoliopsida; Asterales; Asteraceae
Exons: 6
Source: RefSeq, a predicted model, not a curated record